This 77-nucleotide transfer RNA is filed under the name Glaciecola siphonariae. RNAcentral describes it as "tRNA-Val". It matches the Rfam family "tRNA". From Rfam's summary of the family: Transfer RNA (tRNA) molecules are approximately 80 nucleotides in length. Their secondary structure includes four short double-helical elements and three loops (D, anti-codon, and T loops). RNAcentral also lists the same sequence under 7 other names. The record is from RNAcentral. Lineage: Bacteria; Pseudomonadati; Pseudomonadota; Gammaproteobacteria; Alteromonadales; Alteromonadaceae.
ACGACUAUAGCUCAGUUGGUUAGAGCGCUACCUUGACAUGGUAGAGGUCCCCAGUUCGAGUCUGGGUAGUCGUACCA